UACGUAGGGUGCGAGCGUUAAUCGGAAUUACUGGGCGUAAAGCGUGCGCAGGCGGUUCGUUGUGUCUGGGGUGAAAGCCCCGGGCUUAACCUGGGAAUGGCCAUGGAAACUGGCGAGCUGGAGUGUGGCAGAGGGGGGUGGAAUUCCGCGUGUAGCAGUGAAAUGCGUAGAGAUGCGGAGGAACACCGAUGGCGAAGGCAGCCCCCUGGGUUGACACUGACGCUCAGGCACGAAAGCGUGGGGAGCAAACAGG
RNAcentral lists this ribosomal RNA (253 nucleotides) under uncultured bacterium. Its description in RNAcentral is "partial 16S ribosomal RNA". It matches the Rfam family "Bacterial small subunit ribosomal RNA", at positions 524 to 776 of the family's 1533-position model. The record is from RNAcentral.